Molecule: long non-coding RNA, 11262 nt
Organism: Cavia porcellus (domestic guinea pig)
Lineage: Eukaryota; Metazoa; Chordata; Mammalia; Rodentia; Caviidae
Exons: 6
Source: RefSeq, a predicted model, not a curated record
CCGCCCGGCCCGGCCGCCCGGAGCUCGCCAUUGGGCCUCGCUAUCGGGGUCCCGCGCGCCGGCCGUGCUGAUUGGCCGCUGGGGCUUCAUUCACGGCCCCCCUACCAUCCGCAUACACAUUCACGCCCCGGGGGCGCGGCCGCCACGUGGGGAGUGGCGCGGGGGUGGCACUGGGACCGCACCCCCUCUAGUCCUGGCUGCGUGGGCCCAGCUUUCCCCCUGCGCUGGAGACUCCGAGCCCGGCCGGUCCCACCUUCCACGAGAGCUGCAUUCCUUGCCGCAUUCCACCGGGGCGAUGGGGACUGCGGGCUCCGGGAGGCGCUCGGGCUCCGAGCAGCGACUCAGCCCCCCACUCUUCCCACUGCAUUGCCGCGGCCGCCGGGCCAGGAUUCCCGCGAGCGCCAGGCUGCGCGGGUUCCAGGCGCGGUACCGGCGCUGCUGCUCACUUCUCCCGCCUCGUCUCCCGCGGCUUCCAGCUCGCACCGAGCGGUCUUCUGUGCGCCUGUUGGCCCCAUCUCGGUUUCCCCUUUUUUCCUUCUAGACCCCGCGUCACAACUGCGCAGACCGCUUCGGUCCUGAAAGCGCUUUGGGCGUGGGGCAGAGUUGGACCCUCUCUGGCUUCCCGCUUCGCGUGGACAUCUCUUCCAUCUCCCGGGAGCUGAGGCCAGGAGUACUGCGUGAUCGGCUCCACGCUGGUAUAGCGGGCAGGCACCGCUUCGAUGCCGAGACGCCGGAUCCUUAACCCGGCAGAGUUCCAGGAUUCCGGAAUGAGAUGACCUCGAGGCGGAGACUGUGGCUCAGGGGAUUGCACCACUAGUUGAGGUGAUGGACACCGGACUGCAGUAGUCUGCUUGCUCCUUCUCCCAGCUCGAAUGGAUUAUUGGCGUUGGUCAUGGCAGGGGUCAGCCUGGGAGAAACUUCCUAUAGCAGAGAAUCUGAUGAACUCAGGGAAGGGCACUUCAGGGUGUGCAGACCAGGAGCUGUCCAGCCUGGCGUGGAGCUCUGGGGCUGGCAUUUCCCUGGGCUUGCCUGGGGUUAUUGAAAAGGGAACUGAGACCUAAGUCCUUGUUGGAAAUGCGGUCAGUGGAAUUCGGCCACCGCCUCAUUCUGCAGCUCUGGAGGGCUCCCUGAAGGAUGCUAGUUGCAGUAGAGCUCUACUCUAAGCUUACCCUCUCACCCCACACCCAGCCCCAUGCUGUAUGGCCACAGCCGUGGCCUCCACCUCUCAUGAAGAUUUCGGUCCCAGGAAGUCUUCCAUUCUUCCUGUUCUGUAUUUGCUCUCGCCUCAGAUGAAUUCACAGAUUCCAAAGCCGACAGGUUCCUGAUCUCAGGACCGAGGUGGGGGUGAGAGCAGUGUUUUAAGCCAGAAGAUCCUAAAGGAGGAAGAAGAGAAGAGGAGGAAGAUGAAGAGACACUGGCUGGUCCUGAGGAGUGGACAUCUUGCCUGGAGAAAUCUAUUGCUUCAUUUGCUCAGAACAGCGGCCUUUCUUCAGCCGGCGGCAGCUCUUUUCUCUCAGGCUCUGUGGUCCCAGUGGAAGCCGCCAUCUUCCUCCCUUGGCCUCCACAGAGAGUCUCUCUAUGCAGUUCAGGCUGGCCUUGAGCUUGCUUUGUAGCCCAGGAUGACCUCGAACUUGCAACAAUCCUCCUGCCUCAGCCUCCUGAGUACUGGGAUUACAGACGUGAGCCACCAUACUCGGCUCACAGAAACUUCUUUCCAGUCUAUCACCAACUUACUUGCUGCAGGACUCAUGCUGUCCUGUGUGUUCCCAGAGUCAGCGUGUAUGCCAGCAUGGGUGCAUGAGCACAGAGGCAGAUCCCAAGUCAGCUCAAGGAAGAAGCUUGCAAUCACUGUGGACAUUUUAACCGUGGAAGAGGAGCAGUCAGGGAUGCCAGCCCCCGAGGCCUCCGGCAGAAUGUGGACCAUCAAGGGUCCUGCCUGGGGAGCCUGGCUGUAGGCAUCGCUGUUGCCCUCUCGCAGCAAGGAUGGAAGGUGGCCCCACCCUUUGCUGGAACACCUGCGGCUAGGCUUCCUGCACCUCUGCUCCAAGGACUCCUCUGCUUGGCUCGUCUAACCAGAGUGCCUUCUGCUACUGCUAGACCUUCUGGGAUUUCACUUAAGGUGUUCUUCCUCCUAUCUACAUCCCCGGCUGGGCAGCCUCACCCUGGACAUGGAUCUGCUCCUGUGCUGACUGCUGGUUGGCCUCCACUGGACAGUUCUGCACCAUCUGGUAGAGUUUAGGUCAGUUGCGGCUGCACUCGACUGGGAGCUACCUACAGCUGCAACACACCCAAGAUGGCUGCUCACUCUCCACAGCUUCUGCCUACCUGGCCUCUAACCAUUCAGUCACCUGGCAUUGGCCACAGGCUUCCUUAUGCCACAGGCGCCAAGAAGAGAGAGGUGGAACUGGCCAUUCUUUUUAAAGCUUGGACUUCACUUCUGCCACAUCCUGCUGGUCAAAGCAAGUCAUAGGCCUAAUGGCUGAUUCAAGGGAAGGAGAACUAGGCUGCCCCUGUGUCUAGGGGCAAGGGGGAAAGGUUGAUGACCACUGAACACUGUCUCCCACAGCAUGUGGCAGUCAUUUAUUCAGGGAGUUUCUGAAGGGCAAGGAUUCAGCUCUAUCCACUAUCCCCAGCCCCAACUGUCAGGGAUUUCAGAAUACAAUGUGGGAUCCAGCCCAAUACUCCUCAUAUGGGAAUGUUGACCUGGAGAGGGUAGAGAGGUGGUGGAGUGUGUUAGCUGCUUCUGUUGGGACUCUUCAAUUUCAGGAUAGUGCAUCCAUACGCUGUCUGGGAGUCCUUUUCUGGGCAUAAGUUAUGCCCCCUGGGGCAUGAUGGGCAUAUUUCAUUCAGCCACAUGGUUACACAGAGCCCUGGAUCCAAACACAGACUUAAUAAUUAAAGCUUGCUGCUUCUCUCUCUUGUCAUUGUACAUUUAGAGCAUGUGGAAGUCAUUAGUGGUGUUUGUCAAAUAUUUCUGGCUGUGCACCUGCUGAACACAUGGCAGGAUUGCACUUCUUGGCCCUCUUGUGGUUGGGUGAAGCCUUGUGAUGAAUUCUGGCCAAUGAGUUGUGAAUGGAACUGACUUGUGCCUUGUAUGGGCAUUUAAUGGCUCCGUGAAGCCUCCAGAGCUCUUUUUUCCUCUGCUUUGGUGCUGGCAGUGUUAGAGAUGGUAUCUGCUCCAUUAAACCAAUGAAGAGACAAAGAGUGGAGCCUCAUUCGACCCAUGAUGUGGAAAUGACAAGUGAGAAACAAUCUUUUUGUUGUUUUGUUUUAAGCCACUAAAACUAAGGAGUGGUUUGUUAUGAUAGAUUGACUUCAUCUUUCCUGUCUGAUACAAGGGUCUUGUGGCUUAACCCAGAGGGAGUUCAUCUUGGUAUGUGGUGGGGGUGGAGCAGGGAGGAAAGAGCUCAUCUUUGGAGAAAAAUAAGAGGUUGGAGUAGGUGUUGGGCUGGGGAUUCUACACAUAGGCCACCUAAUAUAAGCAACUAGUAUAUGAAUGUGUGCUUCAAAGAGUUACAAGAGCUUAGUAUUGAAAAUGGAAAUACUAAAUAGUCAGGAAAGUGGGAAUAUUAAAAAAAUAUUCCUGCCCUGGCCUGCCAUGUGUAUAUUACCUCCCUGUGUCAGUCCCCUCAUUCACUGUUGGGGAUUUGAGUAGUUGUCUUAAAGGCAAGUGAUUUGAAUGCCCAGACAUUUGCAUAUGGGCUUCCCUUCUGUUGCUUUCUUUAUUCUAGCUCAGUGGCUCUCUAACUUUAGUGUGCCUAAAAAUUUCUGUUCAUGGCUGUAUAAACAAACCGAUGUAUACUGUACUUUAUGAGUGAUUUCAGUGUUCUUCCAGGGUACUUUUGACUACGUGCAAUUCUUUCUUAUGUACAUACUUUCAAUCUAACCCCUGUAUGUGAUGAGAGUCCAUUGUUCCAAACCCAAAGAACCUUGCAAUUUUUAUGAGAUGCUGAGCGCACAAGAUGUCAGCAGCAGCUGCUCUUAGCCUGCUAUCCACCUAUCACCCAAGCCCUUUUGGUUUUAUACCCACAGUAUAAAUCUUCAGCAUCUUUUUCCUGGAUUCCCACGAAGGGCUCCAAACUCAUCUUUUUUGCUUCUAUUCCUGUUUCCUCAAAUCCGUUGUCCACUUUACAGCCAAAGUGAGUUCUUCCAAGCACCAAUUUGGUCAUGUUGCUUCUCCAGUGUAAAUCUCCUCAACUUGGCUCCUCCAGAUUGCUCUUACUGGGGAGACCAGCAUCUGUGAUGUGUCCCUAGGACCUCAGGGCUCUGGUUUGCCUGUGUCUCUGGUCCCAUAUCUGGCAGAUUCUCCUUUGGCCUCUGUGGUCUGUGCUGGCCUUUUGCUUCCACCAACAUGUUCAAGUCCCUGUCCCCCUAACUCAGAGCCUUGGCACCUGUUGUACCAUCUGCUGGGAAUGUUCUCCCCCCUCCCUUCUCUUUUUGCCUGGUUAACUCCUACUCAUGCUUCAGAUGUCAGUUCAAAUGUUACAUCUUCAGAGAAGCAUUUAAGCCAGCUUAUUCUUUAUUUGCUCUCAUAGAAUGUGUUGCUUUCCUUCAGAAUAUUUAUGCCAGUUUGUAAUUAUACACUAAUUUGUUUGAUUAUCUGAUGAACACUUGUUUCUUCCACUAGAAUGUAAGCCCUAGGAGAGCAGGGGCCGUGACUUCCCUGUCACUCUUGUAUUCGCAGCACACACAGUGUGUAUUUGCUGCAUGAAUGAUGGGAUGGUACGGGUAGUGGUUCAGUGGCGGUAGUGACAGUGGCGGCGGCAGCUGAUAACAGCAAUGGCGUAUCUGUUUCUUUCUGUUUGGAGCUAUUGUCUGUUCUAAUUUUUACCUUGAGCUUCUGUGGCCUGAGAGAUAAAAAUUAUCUCCAGAUACAAAAACAAAACCUGGAAAGUAGAAAAGAUUCAGGGUCAGAUAGGGUUGAAUCGGAUCCAGAGCUUGUUCUGCAGGUUCUAGAUGUAGAGUUCUUGCUCAGAGCCCAUAACACUUCCUAGCCUGUACUCUGACAAACAGGAACUGUCCCUCAUGCGCUCCAGUGUGAAUAAUGUGUGGGGUAAAAGAACCAUCUCUUACCUCUUCUCUUUGGUUUCCUUUUCAACUCUUUCUUCUAGUUCAAAAAAUUUUUUUUUGUUAAAUAUAAGGUGAACAUAGAUUAGGCCUUAAAAAAUCUUGAUGAGAGAACAAGAAGAAACUGAGCUGAACACUGCCUUGCUCAACCUGUAGGGUUAGUGACACAAGAAAGUGUUAUUAAGCUGGAAGAAUUUAGACUGAGGGAAGUGUGCUAAUAUAAGAUUAUUUUUUUCUUGGGCUUUGGGGUCUGAUCAUACCUCUAUGAGUAAUGAAGUCAGAUUUCUUAGAAAGGAGUGACAUUCCCACCAAUUUCGUAGUCCUGGGGAAAGAUUCAUCCAGGAUCAGUAAAUGAGGAGGUCUGAGGUAGGAUUUAGCCUUAGGGGAACUUUCCUUCCUUUUCCUGGCAAUGUGGAUCAAUUUGUUCUGGAUUCUAAUACUUGGAAGUAAUAGAGCAGUAUGUUAGUUAAGGUUAGGGCAGCUGUUUUCACAGAAGAGCCUUUAACAUUUCAAUAUAUUAGCAGAAUGAAUGUUGGUUUCUCGUGUUCAAAAGAAAGGUCUUGUUAAGUAAUGGUUUUCUUCCAAGGGCAACUAGGGAACUUGACUGCUUUGGUUUUGUGGUUCUACCAUAGUUAAUCUUAAGGUCAGUAUAGUGAUUAGAAAACUAACUUGGGUCAGGCCUCAGUAUAGCUUAAGCCAGGAGAUUCAGAUCCUGCUCCAGGAAGAAUUAGUUUAUCAUCAGAAGAGCUGCAUGGGUUACCAAUAUGCAGCAGUAGGAACCAAGAGGUACAUAUAAGAGGGGGAUGCUGAAGACUUGGUCUUCUGAAGGGUUGCAGGUGGAAACAUAAGCCUGGACCAGGGGCUUAUUGUAUAGGGAUAAUUUCUUGGCAAGGACACAUGAAGCCAGUGCUAAUAUACUUGCUCCUGGAAUAGCUUCAUGGAGACUGGGGCUGCAGUAAAUUAGAGGGUGGUGCCAGAAUCACCUUGGUAGAGUAUUAAGGGAGGAGUCAGAGGGUUUAGAGAUGUGGAGACUAUGACACCAGCUCACUGUGUUUUCUAGAAGUUUCCAGAGGACAUUGCCUUCAGUAGAGCAGCAGAGAGUCACUAGUCUGGGUUAUACAGCAUUACCAAGGAGCUCAGCAGUGGGUAUCUUUUAUAGCCAAGGAUUACUGGUAAACAAUGCUGCCAGAGAACUAGAUUUCUUGAUGAAAGUGGCAAUGAUGGGUUUUUGUAAUAGCAGUGGCCAGGAACAGGCAGAUAACUGACAGAAAAUUUGUAGACUUAUUAUUACAUAAAUCAGUAAAGCCAAGUGUCACUUAGGAUCCUUGUUCUAAAAGUUGUGUUGAUAGUUAAGGAGUGAGACAUAUAGGCAGCCAAUGAGAGAAAAAUCAAGGUUUAUGGCAGCUUCCAUAACAGAAAAUAAUGGUUCUUUGUCCAUUUUGCAGUUCUGAGUCACCUUUAACCUAGAGUCCAUUUACUGAAGAGGAGGCCAAGUCCCUUUGAGGAAGGACUUGACAUUUCUCCAACCUUUUCCCAAAGAGAUCUAUAGCUAUUUAUCAAGCAACUGUGUAUUUAGGAAGGAGGGAACUAUAAGAACUUUGGGAACUUCUGCAUAUAGGGUCUGGAGUGGGAAAUCAAAUGUCACAGUCAUCUCCAUAUUAGAAUUGGGGCCUAUUGGAGCAGGUGAGGAGGGAGUCCUGGUUUAAUUCUGUUUUGUGGUGGGUCCAAGGGAUUCCCCACACUGAUUCUUCUUAUUUUUUCUUCCCUAGAUUCUGAGUAUAUAGUUAGAAUAGAUAUUAGUAGUUGCCAAAACCUUCACAUUUAUUUCCUUGACUAUUGUAAUAAGCCCAAAUGGAUGCCUUUCAAAGUGCUAUCUUCUUGGACGAGAUAUUCAGUCCAAAGCCAUGCCAUAUCUUAGGUGACUUUGUGGAAAUUAGGGCCAGCACCAAAACUGAAGGAUUUUGAGGUUGUUUUCUCCCAUCCAACUCCCAUGUAAUUCAUUGGUUGGGUUCCUGAAAAAUCUAGAUUCUUCUAAGAUAGUUAGAGUAAACUAUCAAAACAAGGGCUAGUCCCAAUUGUAGCUACAGUGCUGGAUGUGUUAUCUUUCCUAGAAUAGAUCAACACAGCCUCCAGCAUUUGAUAUGCAACAUUUGAUCUUUUCAAUUCACAUCAGGAAAAGGGAUUAGAAGCAGUUUGUAUUCACAUGGGAAAGAUAGCAAUAUAUAGUCGCCAUCUUGCCCCACGGCUAUGUUGAUUUUCUUGCUCUCUGUCACAAUAUACAGGAGUCUAAAGGCUCUUUGGUUGUCUUGCCAAUCUGAAAACAUCAGACUGGUUCAGUAUUUUAAGGAAAUCAUUUUCUUUGCACCCAAUGAAUAGGACUUGGCAAAUACUUGAAUACAUGUCUCUCUUACUGAGAGACAUGCUAAGGAAGAGAUGGCCGUAAACUCGGCAAAGAUUCAGGUUCCAUUCAUUGCUUUUGGAGAUCUUGAUCCUUGACUCUCUUAUAGACAUAGUACUUGGUGGAUCUUUUUGGGGUGUUGAGACAGUGGGCAGUGUGCUAAUGAAUUUACCGUGCAGCCUAGAAGGUUGCCCAUGUUGAAUGGGUUCUAGAUCAGGAGACAGUAGCUGUGUCUCUGAGCUGCAGUGUAACCUGUCUGACUUCUAGGGCCACCUGACCUGGUAAAUACAGUAGCAUUAGAAUAUCUAUGGUAGAAUCUGAAAAGCUGAAUUAGGAGACGCACAGGGAAAAUACUGGGAGUUAUGGAGCAAGACUGUGUCUUGUACGGCAAAGAACUAAUCAGUGCUGGACAGGCAGACCCUGAAGUGUUCCUGGGCCUUCACAUUCUGUAACAUUGGUCAUGGACUGUCGAGUCCAUGGACUGUAUGGCCAAGGUUGCCCAGUGUGAGCUAAGUGUUAUCGUCUCUGAGUCAUAAGCCUGGUGAGAUGCAUUAGCAAUCAACUGUAUUGUGAGAAUUGUACGUUGGAGUCAGAUCUAAACAAGUUCAGAUUUUCAAGUAAGUACAUGCACAGGUGGCUUAGCUGCCCAUGUUAUCUAUUUUGUUUGAGCCAACACCCUCCUCUCAGGUCAUAUCUAGUCCCUUGUCAGAAGAUUCCCAUGGACAGCUAGUGGAGGAGCAAAUAUCUCACAUUAGUUCACAGAUGGACCAGUUCAAUGUAUUAGUUACAGAGGAUAAGUACUUAGAGGGAAUCUUUCACUAGAUAGAAGCUUAAGUUGUGUAGUUUUAUCAUCAGCUUUUAUGAAGGAAGAAGUGAUCUGAGAUGAGUUUCUACACAGGCUGUUGGGCAGUCGUGAUUUGGCUAAUUGGUCAGGGCUCUGGAAAAAGUUAGAUUGAUUGGUUAGAGACAGGGAGUCUGGAGAUAAGGGGUGUGGCUGACCCUAAGGAGUGGACACAAAAUUUAUAUAUAUAUAUAUAUAUAUUCCAAUGCUUAUCAAAGAGCAUCCAAUAUAUGAUACAUUAAACAAAGAAGGGAAAGGAAUGGAUAGGAUUUGUCAUGGGAUGUCACCUAGCAUUGCUUCUCAGGCAUCCUAUGCAUGCAAAAUUGGCUACAUAAAGAAUAACAUGGUGGUAGCAGUAGAAAGUUUUGCAUAGGUCCAACAUGAGCUCCUUGUCACCAAGGUUGAUCAAGUUAAUGCAGCCACAAAAUGUAUGACCCGUUACAGGAGAGACCAAUACUGAACACUCAAGUAUGUUUCUGAGCAUUGUGAAGAAUGACUUGUCCUUGGUAGCAACUGCCCCUGGAAAUAGCAUUGUGUUGUAAUAGCUAGAAUUUAUGAAUAGGGGAACCAAGGAGUGAAAGAGGGGCCCUCUCAUAAUCACUUCUAGGGCCCAGUUUGGGGAACUUAAGCUUUCUGUCCAGAAUCUUAAGGGUCUGUAAAAUUAGAGGUGCUAGUCCCAAGGGCUGGGGAGCUUCCAUCUGGGGAAAUAGUAAGAAUUCCACUGAAUCAUAAAGAUUCCCACCUUGUGGUUUUGCAUUCCUGGAGUUAGAAGACCAGCAUAGAAAAAGAACUUGUUGUCCUGCAUGUAGAUAUAAUGAGGAACAUGGGUAGUACUUUUUUACCCUCCAUGUGAAUUUUUCUUACUUACUACUUUCGUUCUCCUUAAAGACUAGCUCCUACAUCCAAGUUCAUCCUUAGUGUUGAAUUUUGAGAGAACACAUUAAAACAGUACAAUUUUGAUUUUUUUCAUAAGUGCAAUGGAACCUAUUGAAGAGUUUUAGCAAGGGUGCUACACGAUCAGCAAAGGACCCUGGUAGCUGUGUGAAGAGUAUAUUGAAAGAGCCAGAGUGGACUUAAAGAGUCUAUUAUAAUAGUCUUGAUAAAAGAUAAUAGGAGUUGGACUUAUAUGUUGGUGACAGUAGAGAUGAAGAGAGAAACAGAUGUAAUAGAGGUUUUUAGAGAACACAAUCAGUAAGAUGAGUUCCCUUUAUCCAUCUCAGAUCAAUUUGUUGAGAAUUGUUUUAUUGUAUACACAAGCAUUUGAAUUAUGAUGCUUAUUAUUUAAUGGAUUUUCAAACUGGUGUUGGGUUUCUCACUUUUUCUAGAGCCUGGAUUUCUGAUGGCCCUUUAUGAGGCAUCCUAGUCUGAAUUUCUAGCACAGACCCAGUGAAUGUAUACUGGGAUUCAUCUGUGCUUUCAUUGUCCUAUUUAAGGUCUAUUGAUGUCUCUAAGAGAAGUCCUGCUUAGAGUUCUUGCUGGCAGCUGUCUUCUGGGAGGAAUGAACUAUAUAUGAAUCAAAGACUUAUCUUGAAUAUUGAUGCAACAUAAUGUUUAAGAAGCCAGCAGUGGGACAUUUCUAGCUUGACCUAACAGAGAGAGACUGUUCAGUAGAGCAAAGGCUGAGUUUCAGGUAUGUCAGUGUUGAUUGUAGUGGUACCUCUGUGAAACUCUUGGACUCUAACACUGAUUUUUUUUUUUUGAUUCCAGGGAUCAAACUCAUAACCUCACAUUUGCCAAACAGGCACUUAUGCCACUGAGUUAAAACCCCGGGCCCCUAACACUGAUUAUUUGAUUAUCACUGUGAUAAGCAGAGGUUAAGAUGGAUUUGUGGGAAUGGGAUGGCAUUUUUUAAGAUUCCUAGAAUUUCUUGGUAUGAGAAGGACAAGGAAAUAGGGUAGAAGAUAGUGCUUUAAAACUUGAUUUCAUUUUAUCAGUGAGCUUUGGGCUCCAAAUGAUCAGAAUCCUGUGACUAUAUUUGUACUUAGGGCCUGGUUAGUUCUAAAGCAUUUGAAUUUUGAUGCUUAUUAUUUCAUGGAUCUCCAAGUUGAUGUUGGGUUUCUCUCUUUCUCUAGAGCUUGGAUUUCUGAUGACCCUGAAAAAGGACUUAGUGAUUGAUUCCCUGGACUUUAGUUGGGCCAUGGGUGCUAUGGACUUGGGUGCUAGGUAAGAUAGAGCUUAAUGUAAUGGGAUGGUGAGAUAUUGAAUGCAGUAUUGGAUACACUGAAGAACCUACAGGGAGUAAUUUCAGUAGGCUAUUGAAUAUCUUUGUAUUUAUAGUGUCUAAAAUAAUGUCUGUCAUUCUAGAAACUCAGUAUAUAUUUGUUUCACUAUAUUAAUUAAAUUUUUCUCCCAAAUUUCUCCAGCAACAUUCAACCUCCAUGAUAGCUUACGAGAACUGUUGCUAUUUUGUGUUUGGGAUAAUUUAGUCUCUAGGGGAAAGGCUAAAUUAGCUAAAGUUUAAGAUCUUAGUUACUGAUGAAGCAUGUCUUUGGAGAGUCUCCAAAAAGCAUGCAACUCAUUGAAGCUUCCUUUGAUAUUCAAGGCCCCAAGGACUCAGAGGUGAGAGAAGAAGACCUACAGCAUGCUGGGGUUCAGUUUUUCUGAGUAAUGCAGUGACUGGGGGAUGAGUAUGGAGUCGGGGAACUAAGUGUCUCCUUCCAGAUCAGGACCCUACUGUAGUCUUUCUGGUAGCAAAGGUUCUAAGUAUUGUCUUUGGAGUUGGAUAAGUUGGGUUUAAAGUUUUACUUCACCAUUUUCUAGAUUUGUGAUUUUGGGCAAGUUAUUUUUCUCCAAGCUGAUUAUCCAAGCUUACUUUCCAUAUCUGUAAAGUAGAGAUAUUUAUGUCAUCUACUUCAGUGUGUUGUUGUGAGAACUAAAUGUAAUAAAGCAUGAAACAUGCCUAGUUUAAUGCUUGGCAUGCAGAGAGUAGUCAAUAAAUGCUUUUUAAUAAUAAUAA